ACAUGACUCUCGGCAACGGAUAUCUCGGCUCUCGCAUCGAUGAAGAACGUAGCGAAAUGCGAUACCUGGUGUGAAUUGCAGAAUCCCGCGAACCAUCGAGUUUUUGAACGCAAGUUGCGCCCGAGGCCUCUUGGUUGAGGGCACGCCUGCCUGGGCGUCACGC
Molecule: ribosomal RNA, 163 nt
Filed under: Catabrosa aquatica
Lineage: Eukaryota; Viridiplantae; Streptophyta; Magnoliopsida; Poales; Poaceae
Description: 5.8S ribosomal RNA
Rfam family: 5.8S ribosomal RNA
About the family: 5.8S ribosomal RNA (5.8S rRNA) is a component of the large subunit of the eukaryotic ribosome.
Source: RNAcentral